RNAcentral lists this ribosomal RNA (436 nucleotides) under uncultured bacterium. RNAcentral describes it as "bacterial SSU rRNA". It matches the Rfam family "Bacterial small subunit ribosomal RNA", at positions 957 to 1394 of the family's 1533-position model. The record is from RNAcentral.
UAACGCGAAGAACCUUACCAGGUCUUGACAUCUUGCGCCAACUCUAGAGAUAGGGCGUUUCCUUCGGGAACGCAAUGACAGGUGGUGCAUGGUCGUCGUCAGCUCGUGUCGUGAGAUGUUGGGUUAAGUCCCGCAACGAGCGCAACCCUUGUUACUAGUUGCCAGCAUUAAGUUGGGCACUCUAGUGAGACUGCCGGUGACAAACCGGAGGAAGGUGGGGACGACGUCAGAUCAUCAUGCCCCUUAUGACCUGGGCUACACACGUGCUACAAUGGACGGUACAACGAGUCGCGAACUCGCGAGGGCAAGCAAAUCUCUUAAAACCGUUCUCAGUUCGGACUGCAGGCUGCAACUCGCCUGCACGAAGUCGGAAUCGCUAGUAAUCGCGGAUCAGAAUGCCACGGUGAAUACGUUCCCGGGCCUUGUACACACCGAA